Gasterosteus aculeatus aculeatus (three-spined stickleback) is the source of this 4336-nucleotide non-coding RNA. Lineage: Eukaryota; Metazoa; Chordata; Actinopteri; Perciformes; Gasterosteidae. The record is from RefSeq and is a predicted model, not a curated record.
AGGUCCUCCAGUGAUGCAGAUAAUGACCAAUGAAUUAGCUUUGCCAACAGCUCACGUCCGGAUAAGAUGUCACAGGGGAGCUUUUGCAUUUCCGUGGAUAAAAUAAUAAAGUAAUGAAGUUUUUGGUUCUAGUGUCGAACCGUCCUUCACAGCUGGGGACACUGUCCUCGGUGUCGCAGGUCAGCCUCCCUUUGUCUGAUACGGAGGCCGACACGCAUCUAUUCAUGAGAUCUCCCCGUUGUGCUUCCUCCUGUAAGCUAAUUCCACUCCCUAAUUGGAUAACGUGUCCAUUGGGACCGCUGACCGACACGCACGAGGCCUAUCAGCGACGGGACGAGGUCAAGGGUUAACGAGGCCCGCUGAGGAGGAUGCCAUACAUUGGCCACGCAGUCAGUGGGGGUUUCUGGGUAAUAAGUUGGCGAAGAAACCACCAGCGUAGUGCAGAGUGCAAGUCGAGCGAUCCAGCGCCACGGGCGUGAUAACGGGCUGCAGGUCAAGGUUCAUCGCGUCGACAGAAAAGGUACGUUGAUCAAUUCCUCCGCAGAGACUUAGAGCAGAUCUUAAGUAAAGGUUAUGGGAUUAUCAAAGUAAUGAGGGUGUAUCCUCUGGGUACCAUGAUUGGGUCGAUACCCUGGUGGGUUCAGCAGGUUUUUCUCUCCCUGAGCUCAUGCAUCGUAUCUAAAAACUAAUAAUAUUCCACAUACAGUGAAAAUGUGUCCUCUCAAUGUCAUAGAAAUGCUCUUAUUUUAAAUGGGGACAAAAGUCAAUUUGCGCCACUAAUUACAUUUCUGGGCGCAGCGACGAUUCAUUAGUUUCAUGAUUCAUGAAUUAGGGGGAUACUUCUUUUUUUAUAAUUGAGUACUUUUUCCAAUUUAUAAGAAAUAACCUCCUUAAGCUCCUUUACUGGACCGUGAUGUCAUGCUGGUGUGGUAUUCACAUGGCGUUGUGUUAUCGCAAUGAGCUGGCAGAUAUUAACCACGUCGGUGCGUUGUGCUGCUGUUGUGUUUGCUUAGCGUGUGCAUGCUAACCGUUAGCAGCAGCAUGCUAACGCGCUAACAUUAGCGGCACCUCAUCUGGGCCUCGGUGCAGCUGCUCUGGAGUCCUAAAAAGGGCAAAGUAAAGAUUUAGAUUUAGUGAAGCAACACGUUUGCUGCUCCGCCGACCCGACCAGAACCGAUCAGAUAUCGUGUCUCAAUGGUUCACCAACGGCCUCCGUCUAUCUUUGACAAAACCACAAACGUUUAUGUGGCCUACUGUUGUUUUCAGUCUCCCAACAUCUACCCGUGGAGAGCAGUGUCUACUCACCCGACUCGGGGCUCUUGGGUUUGGACCCGUUGAAAACACGGACCUGAAUCUCCGUGAACAGAUCUUUCAUUCACAACGAGAAGCUGGAGGCACAGGCGCCGAUUCAACCGCCUCAUAAGUCUUCUGGUUUUCCAGGCUGCUGGUGGCAGACGUCCCACACAGAGAAGAGCAAGCGACCCGGUUACAGCCGUGUGACCCCUGCGGGUGGGAUUCAAUCAUCUGCAAAGUACAAAUUGAACUGGAUUGAAUGUUUAUAGUGCGCGUGUGUCUGAGAAGGUGUCUGUCGGUCGUCGUCCGACCAAUAAAACGUUCUGUUUCCUUCAUUCACGCCUUUUGUCUCUGAUCUGAACGGUGUCCCCUCGGCUCCUGUGAGGUUCCUCCUCGGGUCGAACGUCCUACCGACCUCGGGGAGUCGGAUCCGAAGCUGAAGCUUCUCCUCCCUCCAUCUCUCACGUCCCUGCUUCGUUUGUCACCUGCAGUAACACUCGCUGUGGGUUUGAGAGCCCUAGGUCAUGUCUCCCUAUUCGACGUCUAGUUCCUCCCAAUUAGCAGGGAGCCUUUGAUGAGUUGGUGACGGAUCAUCUCGGGGGAACCGGAGUGAACACGUUGGAGAUGAAUCAAAUAAAACCAAAUGAGGUGGUGUGAGUGUUUGCACCUCACGACAGGAUGCAUAUCAAUAGAAGCACAACGUCAUAACAAUAUAUCCAAAAACGUAUUGACUAUGUAAACAAUGAUAUUACAACAUGAUUCUAUAUCACACUAUAAGAGAUCACCAGACACAGCAAAGAUAUGCUGCAUUGUACUAUACCGUGACAUAAUGCCAUAUUACACUACAUCACAUCACGCACUCUUACUAUAAGUCUCAUCAUAUAUCACGUCAGAGUGUUCAGAGCUUAUCGCUUCGUCUCCUUGUUCUUCCAGCGUUUGAUCGAGUGUGAGACUCGCAGCGGAGGUCAGCGCGUCUCCAUAAGUACAAUGAAAACGAGCCUCUUUACCGGAUCAUUUUGUGUAGGAAAGAGAAUAAAUAUCUUCACUUGGUCCACCUGGUGUUCGUGCACAGAUGAACAUACGCGGCUCUGACAUGGCGCUUGCUGUAGAAUCGGAUGUGUGUGGAAAUGUUUCAAAGGCUUUUCAAAGGACGAGGAAUCCAACAGGACGUCGUCGCUCAUCUGCUACACGGAGUUAUCCUCGAUGAUGGAAGUUAGAUUUGAUUUAAUGAAACGCGCUGGAUCUCUUUAUUCAAAUUGAGGAUUAGGUUGUUGAAGGAUUUAUGCGAUGGAAUUGUUUUUCUGGGGGGGGAGGAUUCAGCCUGACAACCACCAGCUGAGACACACAUUUCUCUCGUGUGGACAUGUUGCAUUCUUUGUCUCCAUUCAUCACACAGAGGAGAUGAAGAUACUUCGGCGGAAAGCUUCCCAUUGGCUCCUCGUGUUCCAUUCCUCCACGCGACCUUCACGUGUCCUCAUUCCUCAGUGCCGGGGUGGAUCCAACACCUCCCCCAGCAUCACCUGGAUGGGAGCAGAGACGGCCUGUGAGGACCGUUUGUCACGGAGGACACGCGAGAACAUUCCAUAGAACUAAUGCAGACUUCUGUGAAGCCUCCAGACAUUCCCACGUCAUUUCAUUAGUUUCCCUCCUUAUUGGGAGCCCGACCAUCAGGUUUCUCCUAAACUCAACAUUAGAUGGUUCAUUGUACGUAAUGAACGCAUGAAUAUGACCAGAUAAUCACAAUCAGCUUCAUUGAGGUUGAUUCUCGUGUUUCUGUGACAUCAGAGGAAGCGUAAAGAAGCUUGAAUAAAAGGUGAAGCUGAUCAUGAACGAAGCUGCAGGCUUGCCGACGUUGCAUGAAAUGAAAUGUUCAGAUUAAUUCGAUUUUUAAGUGUACUUAUGAGGAAAGAAAUGCAUUCAGCGUGCUGUGUUGGAGUGUGGUGAACAACCGGCUUUAACAAGUCCCAGAAGGAGAACAAACGUUUAAAAAUCACUAAUAGUUUUUGAGGGCUCAUUUUAAAAAGUUAAGAAGUCAAAUGCUUCCUAAACACAAAAACAAAUUAAGAAAUGUCAAAGGAUUUCCAAACGCCCGCCCAGACUACGGGCCGACGUCCACGUCUACAAACGCUCUCUCAUCGGAGAGACGUGUGUUAUCAGUAAAGCUGCUACAAACCAAACCAAACCAGCGUGAUCACCUGCUCGCUCCCUUCUGCACUGAAUGAAGCCUUUCCAUCAAAGCACAGAUCAGAGGUAAGAGAUUCAUCUGAAGCUUUAUCAGCAGUUACUUAAAAGGCUUUUGCAUAAUUCGUGUUUCACACAAGUCUGGAAUUUAAAGCAUAACUGCUGCAGAUGGUAGAAAAAGUAAGUAAGUAAGUUCGUUCUUUGGAUAAAAUAUUGAAUUUAAUAAAUGGAAAAGCUCAGCAACUCUUGGUCAACUUAAAGGGUUAUUAAAGGGUAUUACUUUUGGUUUCUUUUGCUGGGUGAAAGUCUCGUGCAGAAGAAAGAAGACAUGGAGGGUGGACGGUGAGACCAACAGGACCUUCGGCAGACCUCAUGUCUCAACGUGCUGCGGAGUCACUUUGAAGUUGGUGAUUUUCAGCUCUUGUGUCCACGUUAAACCUCUCUUACUAACUCCAAACAUCUCCUGUAUGGAACUACGCGGGUUCAGUUCCUUGAACCUAAUAAAGUGCCACAGUGACAGGCGGAUGGACAAUAUGUGUCUCCUUUCUACGCGUCCAGGAUCUCACACUUGUGUUUUCAUGCUCCACUGACAUCCACAGUCCCUCUCUGCCCGUCUCCAUUUCCUCCCGACCCUCAUCCUCCCCCCUCAUCCUCCCCCGCCUGUGGCCGUCGCCCCUCGUCUCGCUCAACGCCGUCUCUGUGCAUCACUCGGCUCACAUUAGCCCAUCUGCCUCGAUGCCGUCGCCUCCUCCCGCCUUCCAUCACGUGGAUCCAUUCCCCUCCAACGCGCCGUCUCAGCCGCUCAUCACUUCCUCGUCACCAGCGACCGACUCGCGACUCUGAGGUCAGGUCAAAAAACGCA